UGUCGGUGUUUAUACUACAUUUUUUUACAUUUGCCUUGAGAGAAUCUUUGAACCUCUCUUGUUGACCACCAGCAUUACGCUUUCCAUUCUUAAGUUGGGAAUAGAGUAGUUGCUUAGGAAGACGAUAAUCUGGCAUCUGCACAACAUGACCAGUCCAGUGAAGUUGAUGUUGAAAAAUCAUUCCCUCGACAUUGGUGAUAUUUGCUUCUUCCAGUACACUGGGUGUCAUCUAGUGUUGGUUAUAAAACACGCCCCAGACUUUGUAUGGAAAGGGAAUGAAUGAACACCUGACUGUAGUCUUGUUGAUUUGGUUGGGGUAGGGAUGUCAGAGUAGAGUAUGAGAGCUUUUGGACCGGAAUAUCAAGCAAGAUUCAUGAUGAGUCCAGAAGCCAUCGGCUAGGCAGCGUUAAGAUAUGAUAACGCACAAGGCCAGAGUAGCAGGCAAAUAGUGACUGCUGUUCAUUGCUGCUCACUUGCUUUUGCUUUGUUUUGUACGGCAUUUUGGUAAAAAGAGUUGAGGGGAGCGGAGUAGAGAGAGAAGCAGGCCGGAGCACUCUAGGUUAGGGAAAUGAUGAUAAAUGGUCCAAUUAGCAGUGGAAGCAAGAAGCUAACGUAGAUAACAAAAGCAAUGAUCAGACAAAGCAGUGGACACAUCUGGAAUAACUUGGAAACAAGACGAAUGAACAGGCAAAUAAUAGGAUGACGGUGUUUAGAGAGGACUUUCAGUGAUUGUGCAUUGAAUGAUGAAGUGUGAGAUGGCUUGACCGCAGCUGGAGUAAAGAUGCAACAUUUCCAAAUAUGUUGAAGUUGUCAGGAAAAUAUGUCUCUCCCACACCACUUAUUGUGAUGGGGUGAGAGUUUAUGAGAAAAUUGAGAUAUAUUCAACAAGUACUAUCUGUGACAAAGUGCUGCAGUGUGGCGUGUCCCAUUCAGGGCUCCCUAUCAGCUAGCCAUGCCCUUUCCAGGGUACUCCAUUCCAUCUCACUACCCCAAAGUUCACCACCCUCCUUUCCCCCUGAAAUGUGCUCAGUUAUCAUGUAGCUGUUUUGGGUUUAAGACCUUUUGCACACGAAGCUGGUGCUUUUUCACUGAGCUAGCCCCCCUUUAAGUGUACAUAAGUCUGAUUACUUGCAUAAAAUAACACACGGAUUUGUAGAUGGUGUGACAUAUAGGCAUGUAUGCACUUGCCUCUUUGCAGAAAUCAUGCAGUUCUGAUGUGGUGCUAUUAAAAUAGUACUUAAAAUAGUUACAAAACUAGAGUGGGUAAAUCACAGUAUUCAAGAUUCUUCAUUUCAGAUAUUGCAUUACAAUCUGACUUCCAUCUUCCAACUGCCACCACAAAUUAAUAUGGCAACUGAAAGUAUAUUCUAACUUCAGAGAAAUAUGGAGGGGGGAAAUCAUUCCAAUAUCUCAAUUUUCAAGGGAUGUAUUACAUUGUGAUGAGGGAAAAGAAGAUCAAAUAUGAAUGUGAUGUCCUGAAGAUGAAUGCCAACUUUCAUUCCAGUAUUUGAAAGGUUGCAUUAUGAUACCUGUCAGAACAGAAAUCUAAGGUGACUGAAAAAGGUGAGAAGUAGAACUGAUAUUCAGAGUUGAAAUGCUGAACCUUACAAAAUCUCAUUCUGGUAUAUCAGUUUUCAAGAGAGUUAUUGAACUACAAACAAGCAGAAUACCAAACAGACAAGUUAAAGGCUUUGUAUUGUUUGUGCAACAAAGUUUCUGAAUUAAAGCAAAACAGGAUUGUGAACAUCAAUGGUGGUCAUGUUUAACAACAAAUCCUUUGAGUGAUACAUAUGUUCUGUGCAACAUGUUCUGUGGAAGAAUCAAGAAAAGAGUGUGAGAAAUCCUUUGCCUUAUCAACAGGGUGACCACUUAUUAGGGAUGGGGAAGAAAUUCGAUUUAAUUUACAUUUUAAUGUGAACCCAACCUAAACCAUACUUCUCAAAAAAAGUAUACAAACUGAAAUAUAGCCAUCCUUCAGAAAUUGUUCUUCUCAUAAUUUUCUGUGCAAUUCUCCAACCAUAAAAUACAUAUAAAAGGUGUAUUUGUGUAAUGUGUUCAUAAAAGAAGCAUGCAUUAGUAAAAAUAGCACCGAACAAUGCAUUUUGUUAGGUAAAAUCCUUGGGAAAACUUUAUUUAUUUGGCACAGUUGCAAACAAAUAUAUAUAAAUCAUGAGCUGCAUUUUAGAUUGGAAAGGUAAGAAACUGAAAUUGAUUUGUCCAUCUCCACCAUGUGUGCUGUGCUAAAGAAAAGAGAGGAAAUGCAUGACUAAAAAGAGAGAACAUAGAUUACCAUAAAAUUUGCAUGUGCUGAUAUGUAUAGCUGCAAACGUAUAAGUAAUUACUAAAAUUUAAAAUGCAAAUACCAUUGUAGGGAAUGCUGCUGUCCAAGAGCUAAACCACUGGCGGGCAAUUUCAAGGCCCUUGCUCUCCCUUCCUAUGGUUCUUUAUUUUUAAUCAGGACUUGGAUAGGACAGCUGGUCUCUGUGAAGUGGAAUACAUGGCCACCAUAUUCCUCAGUUGCCAUGUUUGUACUUGGUGGUAGCCACUUGGGCUCUUAUUUCUAACCUUGCACUUACAUUGCUAAGAAAGCUCCCUGGCUGAGUAGUCCAUUAAUCCACCCGGUGCACCAGGUGGAGGAAGCAGUGUUCUUAUGAAACUGUGAAGUCUAGCAAAAUGUCCUCAAGGAUAAAUAGUGUUGUACAUCGUUUCUGAAACAGCACCUGCCGUUUCUGAUGCAUCAGCAUUUGCCUAAUCCACAGACCUUGGUAUUUUUGUUCUCUUCCAUUCUUUCCUUCUCUUACUUUCUGCUCACCUUCCUCCCUCCCCACCCUGUAUUAUAUGUGUCGCCACUUUGCAGCUUAAAAUGUAUGCCUUCAUCAUCAGCUUCUUUCUGUGAUCUCUUGAGAGUUUCAGAAUUGCCAUGGUUGUGGCUGUUUGUUUCUGCUGUUUUGUUCUCUUCAUUCACACCUGGGUUAAAGUAUUAGAUGUUAAACCAAAACAGUUACCCAAGAAACAAGAAGCUCCUUUAAGACGUUAGCACUGAAUUUUUUAUUUUUUAUUAGAGAAUGUAAGGCCACACAAGCAAGCAAUGAAGCGAUGUUUUAUGGGCAGCAUUCUUUCCACCAAAUUGAGCAUGAAUAUCUGCAUUCCUACACAUCCAAAGUGACACUUGUUUGUCUUGGUGAAAUUACGUUUACCCUGCUUGUCUGUCACAAGCUCAGAGCAGACAUCCAAGGUGUCUUCAGUUUUCGGAUAAAGCCAAGGUUUUACUGCCACCAGAGGAGACACAGAACAGGAUUUCUGACAGUUUACAUGGGAGUUUGAAUAGACAAUUAUGGAAGGGGAGUCCUUGAAGUUGGGGGGGGACUGCAGCCCUCUUGAUGUUGCUGAACACCAACUCCCAUCAGACCCAGCCAGUGGCCAAUUGUCAGCGCAGUGGGAGUUGUAGUCCAGCAACAUCUGGAGGUCCACAGGUCUCCCAACCCUUUUUUAAAGCAUCCUGUCCCCAGACCACUUAGGGCUUUAAAAGCUACCCCCCCAACAAAUUGGUAACCAGUGACAUUGAAACAAAACUGGAGCUGACGUAUUUGAUUCAAAACAUUCCAUAAUGUGUUUUCAUUAUCACUAAUUGUCUUCUGCCCAUUAUUCUCAGCCAUUCACACUAUUAGUGGAAUGGAAGCAACAUCAAAGGAGCAUUACUAAACUAUGUUGACACGCCAUUCUGAACCAAGAGAGAUUAGAGGAAGAGCCACAUACUUUAGGUUGGGCAGAAACUAUAUUCAAAAUACCUCAUGCCCACACUGUAAUGGUUUUAGGGAUAGGGAGCAGGUGUCAGGGUUGAGUUUUUAUUUCUGUCUUCUGGUUAAUGGGAAUAUUGAUUUGUUUGUUGUUACCAUCCUGCCAAAGUUUUCUAUUACUGUUAUGGGGGUGGGCUGUGUUAUAUGAUCCCCCUUUUUUCUGUUGUGUGUGUGUGUGCGUGUUCAGUCUAUUUCACUUGGGAACUUUUUGAGUUACAAGCAACUAAUAAGUUUAAUAAAUAAUAAUAAUAAUAAUGCAAUAGCUACAGUUCAUUUUCUAAAUACCAGCCUAGGACAAGCCUGUUAAUGGAAAGAAAGCAAUAAAGAACAGAAGCAGAAUAAGUGAAUUUGAAGUGAUUUCCCAGUGACAGUAGCUGCAACCUAGAACUGAAAGAGGAAGUGUUGAGCAGUGCUGCAAAUAGCACUGUUAGGGGAACUUCUGGGGCUGAUUUUUGGCAGGAAAAUGAUGUCUGAGAGGAUGGGUUAAGGCUAAAAACUUUUCUGCUGGGGCAACACAGCUGCAUUUUGCUCAAGAAGAGGUGUGUCUGGUCCUAAGCAUUUAAUUUGAAUAUGCUGCUAACUAUUACCAACAUAUUUCUUUUUUCCUACACCAUCUCUCCAUCUCUCCAAAUCUAGGGUGACUAAUGUGUAGAUUGACCCUUAACUGCAACAUUGGGUAAACACUAUCCGAAAGAUUAGGGCCAGGGGGCACAUGCCAGUUGUGGCUGUGGCCAGAGAGAAAAGCAGGCAAAGCAUCUAAUGUGACUUUUAGCUUUGUACAGUAGACUGCAUUCCAGACAUAUUUGGAAGUUUCUUAAACACUCAAAUACACCUCUCUCCAUCCUCAAUCCAGGCAAGCAAGAGGAAUGAUCACAGUUGAAGGACACAUUCCAGCCAGGCAAAACAUUUGAGGAACAUGUGGAACAGGGCCAGGGAGGGGAGUUUUCUGGGGAGAGUCUCAAGGGACAGACAGAGGUGUAUCGAGACCCACAGACGGGACCCAGGCCUGCGGUUUCCCAAUCCUGGAUGAGAUAGAUGAGUUUCUUCCAUGCAUUGUCUUGUUUCAUAAAAAGAGAAAACUGAAACUUGGUUUGUACUUUUCUGACAAGCAGACUGGACAAUGGAUAAUGGUAUCUCACUUUGAAUGGAUUUGGAGUAACUAUGUUAAGCACAGUGGUGCCAUGGUCCAGGGUUGCAGGGGGUUGAAGACCCAUUACCAGUCCUUUUUUUUCCUAAAAAAAUGUUUAGCGGUACUCUCAUUUUCCUACUCAUAUUGAAAUACUGCCCCUCAAUGAGGCCAAACUUAGAUUCACAAAAUGUUUAGGGGUAUGCGUACCCCCAGAAAAAGCAUUGCCCGUUACUAUUUAUACAGCAGAGUCCCUCCAGUGUCCUAAAACCGCCCAGUCAACAUGAAGGGGGAGCUUUUUGCCCACUGGAUGCUCCAAAGGUAAACAUUUAGGAACACUGAAAACACAAGAGUUUCAAGAGAACAGUGUGCAAAUUCUGCUACACUGGAACUUAACAGAAAACAUAAUUUAAGUCAGGCUGAAAGAAGACAUUGCAGCACUCCAAAUAAUUUCCCAAGUAUGUGCACAGGAAAUAGUAGAUCAAGCUGAAAGGCAACACAUGGAGAUCUGCAUUGGUUACUGCAACACAUCCCAUAAUUGUUAUGACGCUAUAAUUAUAAGAUUAUUGUAUAAACUUAGACGCUUGUGAAGGGGUGUGAUUGUGACUAUCAUGGUUAUGCACUGUACAAUGGCAAUUCCAUUCCCUGCACUGAACAUGCUUCUACCACAUCUGCAACCGAAAUCCUAUGUGCAAUUACUUGGCAGCAAGUCAGCUCCACUUAAUCCAAUAGGGCUUACUCCAAAUCUGUACAUAGCUUGUAUCAUUAGAAAUCGAAUGAUCAGCCAUGUUUGGCUUCUAGCAGAAAUCCAGCAUGCUGUCACGGCAGGCUGGGGAUCACCUGCAAAACUUCAGCUCCACAGUCACUGGGAAUAGAUUGAUUAACCAAAUUGCUUGGAGUGGCAAUUACAGAUUGGAGGUGGAAGUGGGGAGGAAAGAGAAAUAGGUAUGGGGAGCAAAGUAAGGAGCAAAGAGGCUGUCAACUUCCUUCUGGGAGCCCAAACGUAUGUACGGUUGUAGGAAGCAGUAGUUUGGCUUACCAUGACAUGUGAACGAGACCAAAGUGUUAUGCCUUAACUAUAGCUAUCCUGUUGCAGUUCAACCAACUAGAAACUACAUUUUGCCCAUGUUGAAGUCACUUUUGUUUCAACAAGGUUGAAUAAAUAUAGGACACUCCUUUGGGCAGGGGUGCCAACUUGAAUAAGAUAUUGGGGGACCCAGGUAAGCCUCACCCUGCAUAAUUUAUCACAUGAUAGAGUGUGCACACAGUAUUUGAAUGGCAAUGCCCAUCAACUUUGGGGGGGCCCAGACCCCUCAAAUAUUUUAUCAGGGGUGAAGAUCCCUCACCCCCUAGGAGCUGGCUCCUAUGUCCUUGGGUGUUAAUUUGCUAUCAUUUUAAAACCUAUUUUUAGUUCCUGUUGUAAGGUUAUAAAUGGCCUUCAGACAUUUGUGAAAAGUGACUCAUAAACUAAUAAUAAUAAUUCUAUUAUUUCCAUUCCUGCAACUGUAUAAAGCAGAAUCACCAUAGGUCAUUUUCUCCUAUACAAGACAAUAUUUCUACUUAAGUUCCUGAUAUAGUUCCUUUUUUGCUUUUUCUAGGUUUCUAGUACCAGCUGUUGUUUCAGUUUCCUUCUUCACUUCUCUCUUUGCAACUUGUACAAUAAUCUGUCUGAAUUUCCCUUCUUACACACAUUGUCUCUCGUCUUUCUGUGUAAGCCCUGUGUAAGCCCCUGGUUUAUUAUUUCCUCUGGAGCUGAACCUACUUUCAGUCUUUAGUUUGAGAAGUGACUACAGGUUUUUUUUUCCUUUAAAAAAAAACCCCUAUACAACUAAAUAAGGAAGCUGGUGGUAGGGUAAUGAAUUUCUAAAAUUAUUUCAAGGUAGUCAACCCACACCAAAUGAAGUUACCAUCUCUCAUACAGACAACAAUAAGUAAAUAACACAAUUACUAUGUACAUUUUAGGCUGAGUAUGUUCAGUCAUUGUUUUCCCUACUUUGAAUGUAAAUUUCCUUGGCAAAAACAAGAGACUGAAUAUUGCUGCAUUGGUUCAAUUCACACAUAAACACCAAAACAAUCUGGCACAUGGGAUCAUUUAUGUAGGCUCACAUAUUAUCUGUUUUCUCACUCAUUGUAGUUUGCCAUGAGAUCCCAAUUUGGAAAAUAUGGUUAGUUCUAACUUCAUAAUAAUGGUUUGCAAACUAUGAAUUCAAAUUAGGCUUUGGAGCAGUAUUUUCAGUUAAGACAUCACACAAAACUGCUGUGGUCUAGCAAACAAACAGGAAAUGAGAUAGUUAAUGAAUAAAUACUGAUGGAGUGAAGAGAGUCUUCAGGGGCACAGGCAGGCAUAACAUAUGAAUUAAAUAAUUAGGUAAAAUAGAAUAAUCCCCUAUAUUUAUAAUAAAUAUUAUUAUUAUUUAUAGGUCAUCUUUUUGGGGCAUAGCCCAUCCAAAGUCAGCUUGCAUUUCAUUGAAACAUCCAAGAACUAACCAUUUUAAGGCAAUUAGAAAAUGUGAAAAGGAAACUAUAUGCUGACCUUUAUGUUCACUACAGUGGUACCUUGGUUCUCUAAUGCCUUGGUUCUCAAACACUCUGGUUCUUAAACUCCAAAAACCCGGAAGUAAGUGUUCCAGUUUUUGAACAUUUUUCGGAAGCCGAACAUCCAAUGUGGCUGUCGGCUAUUGUACAUGUUCACCAUGCUUCUUGACAACCACACAAUUAGCAUCAAUGUGAAAAGGACCUAUGUGUGUACAGUUCCUCCAUGCAUACAUGAAGGCCAGCCAAUCAGGGUUGCUGUUUGCAUAUCAGACCCUAUCACUGCCACCAUCUUCAGGGACCCGGGCACCCACCAGACUUUUGCUGUGGGUGCCUAGCCUCCACCCCCACUGCCACCUCCACGCACUCCCCCCCCCCCCAUGGCACCACCUCUCCAAAUGUUGGGAACUUUUCCCAUAGGGGAGUUUCUCCAUUGUCUUUUUUUAUCUGGGUUUCCAUUUUCGGAACCAUACAAACCACCUGAUUCAAUCUUCUCCUUCCUCCUCAUCAUUCACAGCCUGCCAACUCCAGCCUGAGCCCAACGGCAUCUCAAGGCUCAUGACAGAUAUUCAGUCCCAAAACAUUGUGUUGUAUGACAAACUUGCUGCCACAAGUAUCAACCUAAUCUAGACCUUAGAAGGUGCUACCAGAUUAGCACCCAAAAAACUAUGGGUUAAAAGCACAGGAUGGGGUCUUUAGCCGUGGCGUAGCAGCUAAUGAGGCUUCUCUCAAUAAUAGCACCAUCCCAAAACACAUCUGCCAGAGGACAUUGAUUGCCACUACAAAACAGGAGCCUCCAAGGCCACAUUCUCCCCAGAAGUCUGCAGGGCCCCUUCCCGGAUAGGGGCCAUGUGUAUGAUACCAGUGGUGUGUGCUUUUCAGAGAAUUUCUCCUUGCAUUGGCUGAUACCAAGAAGAGGGACAUUAUAUACCAUGUGGCACUAACCUUUUGUGCCUAGCAGUUCCCCCCAGUCUGUUUUCUGUGCUAUUUUGAGACCCAUCUCAAUUAUUUGUGGAGAGAUGGAAGAACAGAUUAUGAAUUUUUAGAGAUCAGCCCUUUGCAGCCGAUCACAUUUCUGAAUGCAUGAGCUCAUCCCAAUGGGCUUCUUCUCUUACAAGGGUUAUAUCAACUAGCAGAGAAAUGGAUAGCUGUUCAGCUCUUGUAACCCAUAUUAAAUUGUCAGUAGCAUUAUUUAAGAAUACCUGAAGAAUGGAGUAGGAAUUUUGUUGGGGGUUUUUAGUGCUGUACUGAAACCUAUGGGACAGAAGAGCUGCAGAAAAGAAAGAGAGCAGGAGAAUUGCUCCACAUCCAAGCCCAUUGCUUUGCAAGCCAUUGAUUUGAUCAAUGGCAUCUUCAGACAGAAACUGUCAGGUAGCAAGUGAGCAGCUUGUUUUGCUCCAGGUGGGCGUAAUGUGAUUUGUUAUAUUGCCCCCUAGUUUCUGCAUGUAGAACUGCUUUGAUUUUUCCGUUGUUGGUCUGGUAGCAUCUGAUCAAGUCUUAGAAUCUAUUAUCAUGCCAUGCUUGGUUUUCCUGUGUCAUCUAUCUAACCAUGCUCAGACCUCAGAAGGGGGGGGGGGCCCUCCCUCUUGCAUUGUUCUCUGCAGCCUGGCCUCGCCGUUAUAUUUCCACAUCAUCCAUAACCAUUUCAUGUAGCGUACACCAUACAUUAGUAUACAUAAUAUACAUGUUAUAUUAUACAUUAUAAGGGACGUGGGUGGCGCUGUGGGUUAAACACGGUUCGAAUCCUUGUGACAGGGUGAGCUCCUGUUGCUCGGUCCCUGCUCCUGCCAACCUAGCAGUUUGAAAGCAUGUCAAAGUGCAAGUAGAUAAAUAGGUACCGCUCUGGCGGGAAGGUAAAUGGUGUUUCCGUGCGCUGCUCUGGUUUGCCAGAAGCGGCUUAGUCAUGCUGGCCACAUGACCUGGAAGCUGUACACCGGCUCCCUCGGCCAAUAAAGCGAGAUGAGCGCCGCAACCCCAGAGUCGGCCACGACUAGACCUAAUGGUCAGGGGUCCCUUUACCUUUACCUUUACCUUAUUAUACAUUAUAUAACACUAUACUUUUAAAGCACCCCCCCUCAAAAAAGAGCUCUGGGAACCGUAGUUUGUUAAAGGUAGAUUUGUUAAAGAUAAACUGCAGUUCCUAGGAUUCUUUGGGGGGGGGGUUAAUUUAUGGUGUGUAUGCAGCCAUGAUUAGAUUCACCCAUUAUUAAUUGUUGUUUUUUUUUUACACCUUCAUUCAGAAGUUUACCAUUCAAGUUGUGCCCAAGUAGUGAUCAACAAAGUUGAAAGUGUGGAUUUGGGUGUGAGUUUAGCUGACCAGAUAGAUGCACAGCCUAACCUGCAUCGAGGCCAGGUUGCUUCUGCCACCAGUAGAGUAAACGAUACUUGUUUGCAGUAGUCUGACUUUGAUAUAAGGCAGCUUCUGACUUGAUAUCUAGACAGCUACUUGAGUAGGAAGCUUUUUUUUUUUUUUUAAAGGCAGUGGCAUGGAGAUUGAUGACCCCUAUAAAACCUAAAAAGGUCACCCAGAUAAAUUAUUAUUUAUUGUUAUUAGGGAAGUUUUUAAUGUUUGAUGUUUUAUUGUGUUUUUAAUAUUCUGUUGGGAGCCGCCCAGAGUGGCUGGGGAAACCCAGCCAGAUCGGUGAGGUAUAAAAAAAUAAAUUAUUAUUAUUAUUAUUAUUACUAUUACUAUUAUUUAAAUUUAUUUAAAUUGGGAUCAGGCACCAUAAACUGGGACAUUCUGUCAUUAUUUAAUAAACGUACCACUCCACCUUUCUUAACGUAUAGGUAAGCUAAAAAAUAAUUUUUGACAGAUAAAACCCCAUUAGUAUAAAAACAUAAAAAGACCAUGUUGAAAAAGGCCAGCUAUCACCAGGAUAUCCGCAUGAAACAGCCUUUGAAAGUCAGGAGGUGUUGGCCUCCUUACAAAAAGUCUGCAAUAUCAGAGUGGUAAGGCUUCCUUAGCAGGUAAACCUAUGGGGGGGGUAUAUGACAUAAAAGAUCCAUAGGUUGGACCAGGGUCUCACACAAUGCUCUAGAGCAGGGGUCAGCAACCUUUUUCAGCCGUGGGCCGGUCCACCGACCCUCAGACCAUGUGGUGGGCCGGACUAUAUUUUUUGGGGGGGAAAUGAACGAAUUCCUAUGCCCCACAAAUAACCCAGAGAUGCAUUUUAAAUAAAAGCACACAUUCUACUCAUGUAAAAACACGCUGAUUCCCAGACCGUCCGCGGGCCGGAUUGAGAAGGCGAUUGGGCUGCAUCCUGCCCCCGGGGCCUUAGGUUGCCUACCACUGCUCUAGAGGGCGCUGGGCCCACAUGCACAUCUUCUAUUUAAAGUGCUAUGUUACCACUUUAAACAGACAUGGCUUCCCCAAAGCAUCCUGGGAAGUGUAGUUUGUUAAGGGUGGUGAGCGUUGCUAGAAGACCCUUAUUCCCCUUACAGAGCUACAAUUCCCAGAGUUCCCUGUAAAGUGGAAUUGAUUGUGAAAACUCUCUGGAAAAUGUAGUUCUGGAAUGGGAAUAGAGGCCUCCUAAAAACUGUCACCACCUUUAACAAACUACUGCUCCCAUAAUUCUUUAGGGGGAGCCAUGACUGUUUAAAGUGCUAUUAUAUGGUUAAAUAGAACAGAGCAUUCAAAGCUUAUUCAGUUCUUGAGCUUCAAUAGAACUAUAAAUCCCUCUGCUGGUCAGUUUAUCGCAUUGCAUGUGUUAAUCCCAUGCAAGCAGCAAGUUUUAAAAAGUUAAAUGAACGAAAAUGCUUUCAUUCAAAAAGGUACCGGUAUGUUGCUUGCAUACGCAAAAACCCAUUGGGAAUUGUAGGCUGAACAGGGCUGGUGGAGUUGGUGAAAAAACUGGAUAUUUCAGCAAGGCAACAUUUUGAACAAUAUUCUGGAUACUCAAAAACUGCAUUUGGCUAGCAUUCUGCUAUAUUAUUAUUUUAUUUAUUGAAUUUAUAUACCGCCCUAUACCCAGGGGUUUCAGGACGGUUCACAAAAUAAAAUCAUGCUAAUAAUAGCAGCAGCAUUAACAAUAUAACUUAGGUGGAAACACAGCAUGUAGAAAUUUUUGAAACCUGAAAAGGUAUAUAAAUGAUUUUAAGUAAGUCCAGCAACAAUUCAAUGCAGCCAAAGUAAGUGACAUUUCUAGUUGCCAGAGACUUUGUGAGGUGGCACAUAUUGCUCAACAAUUGCUGCUGAGGCAAUAGUGUAAAGGAGAAACAUACUUUUAAUGGUACAAAAUGAGGAGUAUUUUUCAAUUUCCCAGUAAAUAGAUGUAUGUCAAAGGUGCCUGUACAGACAUGUUGAAUUUCAUUUUCGAUUUACAGCUUUGUAAACUCAAGCUCAUAUCAUGUUAAAAACUGUGCUGGUAUUCUCUUUUUUUAAAAUGUAACGUAGAGAGCAUCCCAGAAUUCCAUACACUUCACUAGAAAGUACUUAUUCACAUAAUACAUAAUGAAUUCAUGGAAUUUGUUGCCACACACUGCUGGCUGCUAGUUUAGGUGGUUUCCAAAAAGCUUAGACAAAUUCCCAGCUAUUCAUUUUGAUGGCCAUUUGCAACAUCUGAUUUCAGAGGCAGUGUAUCUUUGACGAGCAACAGUGGGAGAGAUCUUUUUCUUCAUUCCCAGCUUGUAGGUUUCCCAGAAGUGUCUGGUUGACCACUGGGGAAAACAGGAUGUUGGACUUGAUGGACUUUUGGUCUGACCCAGAAGAUGAAGAACUUAUAGCUAGGGAUUGGUGAAUAAGUUACUUUCACUUUCUGUCCAUUUUUCAUUUUUCCAAUCUUGAAUUCAGCUCUCUACGUUUCAAUAUUACCUUGAGAAUUUUUUUAAAAGGUCCUCUUAAAAAUUCAUCAGCAUUUUAAUGCAAAAGUUUUAGAAAGAUUUAUCUUGGAUUGUACCACUUCAGGUUCUAAAUGUGUGUGUACAUUUUAAUGUCCCCUUUGAAGGCAAAAAUCCAUAUAGAAAUGUAGCACAUUUAGGCUGAGUCCUUUUCAAAGACAUGCUAGUUUUGUAGGUCAUAGAAUCAUAGAACCAUAGGAUUUUAGCAUUGGAAGGGACUCCAAGGGUCAUCUAGUCCAACUCCCUGCAAUGCAGGAAUCUCAACAAAGCAUCCAUGAAAGAUGUCCAUCCUGCUUUUAAAGCUCCAAGGAAGGAGAGUCCACAACCUCUCGAUGGAGUCUGUUUCACUGUCAAAUAGCUUUUACAGGCAGAAAGCUCUUCCUGAUGUUUAGUCGGAAUCUCCUUUCUUGUAAUUCAAAUCUAUUGGUUCGGGUCCUACCCUCCAGGGCAGGAGAAAACAAGCUUGCUCCAUAUUCCAUGUGACAGCCCUUUAGAUAUUUGAAGAUGGCGAUCAUAUUUCCUCUCACUCUCCUCUUUUCCAGGCUAAACAUACCCAGCUCCCUCAACCGUUCCUCAUAAGGCUUCGCUCCCACACCCUUUCUCAUCUUGGUCGCCCUUCUCUGCAUAUGUUGCAGCUUGUCAAUAUCCUUCUUAAAUUGUGGUGCCCUGAGAAGUCAGAGAUGUGAUCUGCCCCUUAUAUCCUAAAGCAGUACGACCAACACAACGAAUUACUCACCUAGUCCUGAUGAACAGCUCCUGUGUUGCAGAAAUAUUGAAAGCUACCAUUGUUAUUGCGUCUGUUGCAGUGAUGCGGAAUAUAUAAAUCUCACCAUACAGCAAAGAUGCCAUCCGUUAGGGUGACAUGUCGUCAGUCUUGUUUGUAAUUGGCAUCUGCGUCGUACCCCCCUCGAGUUGUGCUUCAAAACAAUGCUGUCUAACCACAAGUACUAUCUCUGAGCAAUAAGUAAAAUAUAGCCAUAAUAUCAAGCUGGUUCUCAAACUCUAGGUGGCAGCUUAUUCCAUCAUUUUUUCUCAGAUGAAAGCAUCAGUAUGAAAGCAGUAGUAUGCUAUAGUUUAUGCUUCUGACUGUUUAUGAAAAAGUAAAACUAUGGGAAAUGGCAUGGCAGUCUGAGUUACAAGCAUCAGUUUAAUUUGUACACAUUGUGGGUGGCAAACACUACAAGUGCUACUUCAGGGUGGGUUAGAACAAGGCUUUUGGCACAAUAUAUUUACUGUGAACCUAAGAUUUUAGAUCAGGUGUGAACAAGGUUGAUGAGGAUCUGUUGAUAGUUCUUUGAGCAAUUCCCCACCCCCUAGACCAGGCUUCCUCAAACUCAGCCCUCCAUAUGUUUUUGGCCUACAACUCCCAUGAUCCCUAACUAGCAGAACCAGUGGUCAGGGAUGAUGGAAACUGUAGUCUCAAAGCAUCUGGAGGGCCAAGUUUGAGGAAGCCUGCACUAGACCUCCAAAUCAGGUUGCUAAAAUGGAGAAAGCUGGGGAGAAAAUGAAUACAUUUGCAAUGUAGAAAGAUAGUGAACUGUGCUCAGGGAGGGGCCAUAUCUCAGUGGAAAAGCAUCUGCCUUGCAGGUGGAAGGUCGCAGGUUCAAUCCUUGGCAUCUCUAGGUAGUGCUGGCAUUGUCUGAAACCCUGGUGAGUCAUGGCAGAUAAUAUAGUGCAAGAUGGACCAAUGGACUGACUCAGUACAAGGCAGCUUUCUAUAUUUCAGAUACUGAAAACAAAUCCUGAUCGGACCUUGCACUCAGGCACACCCUGUUCAGGAAAACUAACACAAUAUUCCCCACAUCUGAACGUGCCCUAUAGAGCCCAUCACAAUUCCUGUUUCAGCUUCCCUGCUAUUUGAUGAAAUAUAUGGCGCUGUGGUCUAAACCACUGAGCCUCUUGGGCUUGCUGAUCGGAAGGUUGGCAGUUCGAAUCCCCACGAUGGAGUGAGCUCCCAUUGCUCUGUCCCAGCUCCUGCCAACCUAGCAGUUCAAAAGCACACCAGUGCAAGUAGAUAAAUAGGUACUGCUGUGGUGGGAAGGUAAACAGUGUUUCCAUGCACUCUGGUUUCCAUCACAGUUUUCCAUUGUGCCAGAAACAGUUUAGUCAUGCUGGCCACAUGACCUAGAAAACUGUAGACAAACGCCGGCUCCCUCGGCCUGAAAGCAAAAUGAGCGCUGCAACCCCAUAGUCACUUUUAAAUGGACUUCACUGUCCAGGAAUCCUUUACCUUUUUACCUUUACCUCAGUAGCUAUAGUGUUGAAAAUACCUCACAGAGUACUUUGCAAAAAACCAAACUUUUCUUCUUUUCUGUUGCUUCAUGAGCGGAGCGAGGCUCAUAGCAUUAGUUGCUACUGCUUAUUCCCUAUGUGAGGUCAUAAUCCUUGCUUUUCAAAUAUCUUAAUCUUUUUUCCAUUGCUACCAGCUGGAAUGUCAAAAACAAAGGAUUACAUCUCCACUAAUGGAAGGCUUGCUCCCUUUCUCACAGUAUUCAACGGGAGCUGUGAAUAUUUGGUGCCACUGAUAUUACAGUGAAAGUUGCUCAGGAAUAUCUAGUAGGAUUCAAUGGCUAGGAUCAGAAUAGUCUAGCCUAACACAUUGUGGAUUGGGCUGGCUCCUGACAACUACACUUGCCUGAGACUUGAUGAACUCAAUAGGUUAUAUCCAGCAUGAGUCUUACUCAGAGUAGAUGCACUGGGAUUAAUGCAUAGGACAAAUUUUGUUCGAGUAAUUCAAAGUGUACUCUGGGUGUACUCUGAGUUGGUUACAACCUAGAACGUGUGAGUGUGUGUGUUUAAAGAUGUAAAUAUUUUCACUGACUUCUAACUUGAAGGUUCUCACUUUGACUUUUAGGCUUACAAGACUUAGGAGCAAGUGAAGGACUAUCUACUCCCAUAUGAGCCUGUAUCAGAUGCCCUGUUCUAGGUACCACCUUCUGGGUCGUAAGGUAGGUUAUGAUCAGCAGUACAGCCUUUGCAGUGGUGGUGCCCUGGUUCUGGAAUGUUAUCCUCAGUAAUAUUCAGCAGGCAUCAGUGCUGUUACCUUUCAAGCACUUAGUGAAUACAUUCUUAUGUCCUAAGCUUUUAAUGAUUAAUUUCAUUCCUGUCAUUUUCCUUUUUGUUGUUUUUAUCAGUGUUUUUGUGCGUUUUUUGUGCUGCUUUCAUCUCCUUCCUUUGUUGCAAUUUUUGAUUUUUAUAUGUUCCAGACUGCCUCAUUUUCCUAAUCAUCUUCAGCUGAAAGUCCAUCUAAAAAACUCUUAAAUAAAUAAAAUAAUUAUAUGAAGAAAACAUUAUGAAAUAAUACCAGCAAUAUUCAGUUUGCUUUCAUCUGAAAGAAGCCAAAUCUGGGUAGCAGAACCUAGAACAUUUCAUUGAGAAAAAAAGGGAGCAUGCAACAUUUUAUCACUCAAGUACUAUUAUCAGUAGCCCCUUAGUCAUGUUGUUCUGAUUCAAAAUAAGCCAUUAUGGCUUAAUAAGCUUAAAAUUUUGAAAACAAACGUAGAAAGGGUGUAUAAACAGGAUAAAGAUCUCAAGGAAAAAGUGAGGCAAAGCUUGUAAGCAUAACAGGAAGUGGAUGUGACACACUGGAACUUAACACUAAGGCUGUUGCCUAUAAAAAGCUACAUUUAUUUCAUAAUUCUCAUGUCACUCAGCAAGUGUUUCCUCUUUACUCCAGAGUAUUAUGAAACUUUCUAUGGAUUUGGAUGUGGCAUUCAUACAGCUCUUUCCCGAAACCACAUGCAGCACACAAUGUAUUCUUUGAGACAAAAGAUUGCUAAUUCAGACUCAAAUAAAUGCCUGCUAUAAAAUCAGUAAGUUGGUCCAAGAACCCACUGAGACCACAAUCAUAGCACCUUGUUCCUUGUGCACAGUUCUGGUUGCUGUUUUUUUACCAUGGUUUAAGCUUUAAUUAAUUCAGCUCAAUUGUAAGAGCUGAUAAUGAGCAACAACUCUGAGACUUGACACUUUUUGAGAAACUCCAAGAGCAAGAACUGAUUGGAAAGAAGCAUGCAUGCUUACUACUGUCCUGGCUCUCAGUGGCGUAGCGUGGGUUGUCAGCACCCGGGGCAAGGCAAGUAAUUUGCGCCCCCUAACCCGUGGAUUUGCGCCCCCUAACCCGUGGAUUUGCGCCCCCUAACUCUAACCCCCAGAAGUUGCGCCCGGUGUGGCCACCCCCCCCUGCACCCCCCACGCUACGCCACUGCUGGCUCUCAAUGGAUGAAGAACUCAAACUUGGAUUGUGGUUUCUGACAAAAUCUUUAAUGCUCAAAUCAGAGCCGUACAUAGGCAAGGCAAAGGUUAGAGGCCCAGCAUAGCCCAGCUUUAGUGAGGCAAGGGAGAAGCAUAUUUGGACUGGGCAAGCAAACAGGCACUUCUUCCAGUGUGCUGGGCCUGAGCCAUCUGCUCAGAGUGGCAUCUCCAUGUCUUAGGUGACAGGGGAGGGGACAACACAGGCUCAGAGCCAGACUUGUACCUCAGCAUCUCCUAUGCAGGUGGAGACUCGCUGUUAGGGAAAGGUGGUUGGGAGAGUUCCUGUGGAGCCAACUGAUCAUGGCUGAUGCCUAACCCACCUUCUCCCAACAGCCCUCUGAGUCCCUCUCUGGGCUCUGAUUCUGUGCCCCCAUCUUCCUUCCCAUACAACUCUGAAACCUCCUGAGGACCAGGCGAGGUCUGGCUCAACCUACUAAGUCUCUCCCCGGGUUCAUCCAAGUCCAACUCCUCGAGCAUCAUCCUGAUCUGACCAGCCUCUCCAGGACAUUCUCAUGAGGCUCAUGACAACUACCCACUCUAGAUUUUAUCUUAGCAUAAUUUUAGUUAGGUCAGUAACCCUGAAAAAAUUGACCAUGGUAUCUUGUUGUCUUAAAGUUCAGGCAAAAAACUGGAGACUAAAAAUUCAAUAUUUUCUUUUGCAAGUGUUUUCUUACUACAAGGCUUUUCACUGUGUUUAAACUUGCUCAAUGUCAAAACACAGUUUGUUCCACUUGUUCUCUUUGCUAUAGAAACAAAGCAAACUAAUAACUAUUGUCUGUCCUUUAAAUGGAAUUAUUUCACAGCCUUUGGGAUCUUUCACAUGAUUUCUCUGUAUAAUCUAUUACAGUGUGAUAGUUACGCUUUUUAAUUCAUGUAUCAUUUUCCCUUGUUUCCUUGAGUCUUUAAAGUCCACUCCAUGCACAGAUGUUGCAAUGCAUUUUUAAUUGGUAGGGAUAUGUGUCUUCGAAUUCAAGGAGGACCAGCUUUUUAAAUAUUGAAGGCCACCCAUGCUAUGUACACACAGUAAUUACUGGAAGCCAUUGCAGUGAUAUUGCUGAAGGUAGACUAACUUAAACUGGUUUUGCAAGGACUUAUAGUAAUCUAAGCUGUAUCCCACAGGAGCAUUAUCAACACUGCAGCAAUGGAUGCACAAUUGCCAAAACAAAUCCACAACCGAUUGGAUAUUGCCCAUAAAAAGCAACACCUACACACAGUGUUCCAUGCACACUUUUAGGAACGUAUUGCUUCUGGGUGAAAAUGACUUGAGUGGAAUCUGAUAGUAAAUUACAGUCUUGAUUAUCCAUGGAGCAGUGUUAGAUAAAAUGUAGUAGGUAGUUACAGCAAUAAUAUGUUAUUAUUUAUAUCCUGGUCUUCUGCAGUUGCACUUGGAAGGGCUUAUAAGAAAAUCUACAUAGGCAUACAUAAAAUCCAAUUAAAAACAGUAAUUUAAAAGCAGUUAGUCAAAUACAUUAUGGCUGCAACAUGCUUACCUGGGAGUACAGUGGUACCUUGGAAGUUAAACGGUAUCCGUUCCGGAAGUCCAUUCAAUUUCCAAAACAUUUGGAAACCAAGGCAUGGCUUCCGAUUGGCUGCAGGAAGCUUCUGCAGCCAAUCAGAAGCCAUGUCGGACGUUCGGGUUCCAAAGAAUAUUCGCAAACUGGAACACUCACUGGUUCAGGAGCCAAAACAUUUAACUUGCAAGGCAUUUGGGAGCCAAGGUACGACUGUAAAUUGUUUAACAUAGCUGCAACUGAGGCAACAGCCAAUUUCAUAUGUCAAGUAUUAAAAGUCUAUCAAAACAUUUUCAACUUCCGUGAAAAAGUGCUUAGAGAGUGCAACUGAUGCAACUUAGCUGGAAGGACAUGGUGCCACCACUGAAAAGGCCUCUUGCUCAUGCACUGAGAGAAAGGCUUCAUACGUAGGUCCAUUUUGAAGCCCAUCCAGCUCUGCAUUGGGACCAAGUGUUCCUUAAGAUAGUCCCAAGCCACUAAGGGCUGCCACGUUAAACCUAAUACUUAGCACAGUUGUUGUUUAAGGCACAUGCAAUGGACCUGUAAUAAACCAUACUACAUGUAAAUAUAGUAAGUGUACAUAUCUGCCUUGCUCCAGCAAUCCUUUUUCCAGCCUGCAAGGCAUCUUCCAUUCAGUAGAUGAAACAAAUUUGUGCAGGGAGAAUUAUACCCAGUUACUCUCAGCCAAAAAAGGCUUGAAGAGUUAAAUACUGUCUCAUCUUCUCUCAUAUCCACCUGGCCAGUCUUUAGUCACGGAGGUGAAACCUAAUCAGGACAGAGAUCACGUAGCUUGUGGAAACUCAGCUUUAAAUUACUAGGCAAUGUUACUUGGUUUCUUUUUAGAGCUGAGCCAAAGGGAAGGUGAGAUUCAUCAGGUGUGAAAAGCCACUCUCCUUCUGGUGAAUGUCUGGGCUGGGGAGAGAAGUCUUGUAUAAGGGGAUAAAUUAUUCUCCUAGAGCAAGAGUGGGCAACCUUUUAGCCUGCAAAAACUAUAUCCAAUGGUGAGAGCUGCUCGGGGACUGUAUGUCAGUGGCGUACAUCUGCUCACAAACAUUCACCUAAGUACACAGCUUGAUGGGGAGGAGAAGGGCAGACCAAUCUCAACCCCAGAGGGAGGGCAGAAGCCAGGCCAGUCCUUGCUGUCAAACGUGAGGAAGGGCAGACCUCUCUAUUUGGAAUGCAGGCAUUGUGCUUACGAUAGCUGAGAGCUUCCAAGAGGAAGCAUUGCAGUCCUUAUCCAUGCCCCUCUUGAAUAGGACACCUCAGGAACAGCCCAUCCCAUUUUACUGUCUGGGGUGAAGUCUGGAGUCUACCAGAGCCUCACUUACUGGGGUUGCACAGCAGUAGUGGCUUCCAGUGAGAUCUCACAAGCUCUCAUGCAAGCUCUGCAAGAUCUCAUGAGAGUUCUCGUUCUCCUGUGGGAUUUCUCCACCCGAGGCAGCUGCUUCAGUCUGCCUCAUAGGCAGCCCAGUCCUGAGAAACCCAUUUACGGCAGGAUACAGAGCCAAGGGUGGCAGAGGCAGCAGGGAGCAAAGAGCAGCAGCAGAAUCCUCCGACAGCUAACAAUCCUGCUCUGUUUAUUUCUUUAAUAUUUGUGUGUUUCAUAUGGAAAAGGAAAUGCAUUUUCAGACCAUUUUUAUAAAUAAAGCAAAAAAUGAAAAGGCAGAAAUAUAACAGCAGUAGCAUGGUAAGAAAAAUACAGAGUCAUUCUAGAUCUUUUUUUUUUUUUUUAAAUUACCUUUGAUUUCGGCAAAGAAGUAAACAUUCUAAAGCAGUGUCUCAGAUCACUGAUUUGUCUGCCUGACAAAUGGGUUGGCAGACCUGGCCUGUUCUAUAUGGGUUUGUAGAGAUGCAGAGUCUACAGUCCUUCAAAUGUUACUAGACUCCCAUACCUUGAUUAUUAAUGUAUAUUGCAUUCCCUUUCAUGUGGAGAUUUGCCUGGCUCCUUCCCUGCUGACAGAAAUUGAAAACGUUUUCCUUGAAAAAGGCUUUUAAGAUCCAGGUCUGCUGCUGUUUUUAAUUAUUUCAAUUGCUGCUUUUUAUGGCUGCGCUAUUGCAUCCAUAAUGCAAGGGUAGGGAACCUGUGGCUCUCUAGAUGUUGCUGGACUCCAGCUUCCAGCAUUCUUGGCCAUUAGCCUUGAUGGAUGGGGUUCAUGGACAUUUGUUGUUGUUGUUUAGUCAUUUAGUAAUGUCCAACUCUUCAUGACCCCAUGGACCAGAGCACACCAGGCACUUCUGUCUUCCACUGCCUCCCGCAGUUUGGUCAAACGCAUGUUCGUAGCUUCGAGAACACUGUCCAACCAUCUCGUCCUCUGUCGUCCCCUUCUCUUGUGCCCUUCAUCUUUCCCAACAUCAGGGUCUUUUACAGGGAGUCUUCUCUUCUCAUGAGGUGGCCAGAGUAUCAUGGACAUUAAAGGUAAAGGGACCCCUGACCAUCAGGUCCAGUUGUGACCGACUCUGGGGUUGCGGCACUCAACUUGCUUUAUUGGCCAAGGGAGCUGUCAUACAGCUUCCGGGUCAUGUGGCUAGCAUGACUAAGCCGCUUCUGACGAACCAGAGCAGUGCACGGAAACGCCGUUUACCUUCCCGCCGGAGUGGUACCUAUUUAUCUACUUGCACUUUGACGUGCUUUCAAACUGCUAGGUUGGCAGGAGCAGGGACCGAGCAAUGGGAGCUCACCCCGUCGUGGGGAUUCGAACCGCCGACCUUCUGAUCGGCAAGUCCUAGGCUGAGUGGUUUAACCCACAGGACCACCCGCGUCCCAUCAUGGACAUUAGCAUCCAACAAAAUCAGGAGGGCCCAAGUGAACCACCCCAGUCUUAAAGGAACAGAUUCAUAGUUUUAGGACACUCCUAGAACUAGGGGAGGUACAAGCAGCUUCUGUCAUAGAAUGCCUACCCCCAGCUAAAGCUGGUGUGCCACCUGCAAUCGCUCUAGACAGAGACAGUCUAGCAAUUCUUUUCCAUAAACUUGCAGCCUUCAGAUUAGAGUGCUCUAAUGCUUUGAAGACAGUUCAGAGACUGCAAGAAUAGCAAGGUCAUGAUCAGAUGCUUCUCCUUCAGGUGUUUCUGCCAUCUGAGGAGAGAUGAGUAGUGCCCACUCUGGUUUUAUUAUAUUUAUUUAUUAAAACAUUUAUAUCCCACCCUUUAUCCAGUUUGGAUCUCAAGGCAGUGUGCAACAUAAAUUAAUGCAUUUUUAGAAUUAGGCAUUCAACAGUUUUUAAAGGGCACAACAACAACACAGGCCUUUUAUCUAUGUUGCUUCUAUCUGCCUUUAAAAAGUCAGUCUUCUAUUCUGACCAUAUAUUUUGAUGGGGUGUUGUUGUUCUUGGGUUGUUUGUUUGGAAUAGGCCCUGAAAAUAUUUGCCUAUUUGUGUUAAAUGCACAUAAAUCACUCUUGCCUGUUUUAUUGUAUUUUAAACAUGUUGUAAACCAACUUGGGAAUUCCAGUUAGGAGGAGUGCAAAUAAUCCAAAUGCAUAAAAUGAUGCAAACCCCUUCACUCUUUCUCUUCUUUUUGGGAAUACUUAGAGGAGAGCAAAUGUUCUCUGUGUCACCACCAGUCUAGAAAGCAGUGACCUUAUUCUGAUUGGUUAUGCUUGCCUACAGUGACACCAACAGACUCACUACAUAGAAUCAUAGAUCUAGUUCAACCCCCUGCAAUGCAGGAAUAUUCACCUGUCUCAUACGGGGAUUGGACCUGCAACCUUGGAACUAUCGGCAAGGUUGUACUAGCAUGAGGAGAGAGAGAACAUUGUGCAUUUGUGUGUGCAGAAUUGUACCAAAGCAACAACCUGUAGAAUACUAACCGUGGACAGCUGGGUACAGUAUUUUUUAAAAGGGUAGAAACAAGGGCUGAUCUAAAAAGUCAGUACAGCCAAGAUCAGGGAUAAAGAACCUCUGGCCUUUUCAGAUGUUGAUGGAUAUCUUCCAUCAUCCCUGACCAUAGGCUGUGCUGGUGGGGCCUUGCAUAUUAUCAGUUCUCAACCAAGUCCAUCAAAAACAGAAGCCUCGUGGGACAUCUUUGUCUUCAUACUUCCUUGUCUUUCUUGAUAGUGUAAAAAAAUAACAGUACUAAUAAAUAACAGUACUAAUGGGUGGUAAUGAAUGUUGCCGAUAACAGAUCGUGGUAAUGAGGGAUUAUGAAACAAGUUUGCAGGAAGAUGUGGCUCAAGCCCCUUCUGCAUUCUCCUACAACUUGAGGAACUCUGCAGGUUAUCGUCUUGUGCACUAGUUCAUUAUGUUGUACCAUUUGUUUUUAACCUUGGCUUGUCCCUAAGACAUCUGCUCUGCUGUGAUUAAUAAUGCUGAUAGAAAUAAAUUGUUGAAGGGCAGUGCUGCAUUGCAUGACUAAUUACCCUCCUAAAUUAUGUGUUCAUAAAUGGGCUUUUUUAAUAUUAAAAAACACAUGCACCGUGAUCCACACAUACAGAGAGAGAUAAAUGAAACCUUGCUAAACUGCCCAAAUUCAGAGCAGCAGCAGCACCCUUGCCGAGGUGACUUUACAAAUGAGAGUCCUUCACUUUCCCCCACAUACACUUUUUUUAACCAUACACUGCCUUAACUGCCCUUCAUUCAGCCUGAGUAUUAUUCCCUAUCUUCCAAGGUGAAAAAGAGUACCUUCAUAAUCAGAAUGAGAAAGAAUAGGUGGAACGCAAUUUUGUAUUGUUUCACGUUCCUGCCAGGAAGUAUUUUGUUGAGCAAAACAAGGCUACCAGUUUUAAUGGAUAGAAAUUGGGGGACCCAAAGGAGUGUGUGUAAAUAAAUAAUUGCUAAAUUCUUCCAUAAAGCAUAAGACCUCUGAGUUCCAGGGUUAGAGGAUUACAUUCCUAUGCUCCUAGCCUUGAAUCUCAGCAUGUCAGCGCUACCUUCCAUUUGUCCUGUAGCAGAAGCCUUCAAUGUUUCCAGACCCAGGACACACUUUUAGACAUGCAUUUGGUGCCCCCACAGGAGGCAGUGAUGAUCACCACAGCAAAUGACUUUAGAAGAGGAUUAGGCAAAUCCAUGGAGGACAGGACUACUGAUGGCUACUGGCCACGAGGGCUAUGCUCUGCCUCCACAGCUGGAAGCAACAAUGCUUCUGAAAACUAGUUGCUGUAAACCACAGGAGGGGAAAGUGCUCUUGCGUUCAAAUCCUGCUUGCAUUUGGUUGGCCACUGUGAUAACAGGCUGCUGGAUUAGAUGGGCCACUGGCCUGAGCCAGGCUCUUCUUUUGUUGAAGUUGUGCCACAGAAGUUACCAACGAGUGGUGCUGUGGUCUAAACUACUGAGCCUCUUGGGCUUGCUGAUCAGAAGGUUGGUGGUUCGAAUCCUUGUGACAGGGUGAGCUUCCGUUGCUCUGUCCUAGCACCUGCCAACCUAGCAGUUCGAAAGCACACCAGUGCAAGUAGAUAAAUAGGUACCGCUGUGGCGGGAAGGUAAAUGAAUGUUCUGUGCGCUCUGGUUUCCGUCACAGUGUUCCAUUGCACCAGAAGCGGUUUAGUCAUGUUGGCCACAUGACCUGGAAAGCUGUAUGUGGACAAACGCUGGCUCCCUCUGCCUGAAAGCGAGAUGAUUCUGCAACCCCAUAGUCACCUUUGACUGGACUUAAUCAUCCAGGGGUCCUUUACCUUUUACCUUACCAACAAAACACUCCCAGUAAAAUUUGUCAUCUGACUAGUGGGCCACUAAAAAUUGUUUUGCAGGCCUCAUCUAGCUCAUGGGGCAUGGUUUAGCCCUCUCCUUUUUAGAGGUAUAAACUUUGCAAAAUGUGAAAACCUGGAAUUUAAAACUUAGAAUGAACAGUGUAAUCGCCAGAUAUAUUGGUAGUUCUUUGUUCCUUUUAAAGAGUUUUAGAUAUAGCAUCACAAGUCAACAACAGAUUGGGUAGUGCACUUAUUCAAAGACAGAGGGCAACUUGGCCAUUAUAAAAUGUGUUUCAUUUUCCGAGAAAUAAUUCAAAGAUUCAGUGCCACUUCAAAGUACCACUCUGGCAAUGAACUGCCAAAUUGGAAACAACUUAUUGCAUGGAAUCUUGAGGUUACCAAGGCAUAAAGAGAAAUACUCGAGGAUCUGUGUCAGACAGAAGAUAAACAUUUCUGAAACACAACUCAACUAUAGUGGGCUAAGAAAAGGCAAGGAAUUUAGAAGGCGAUUCAGAAUACCAAAGGAAAACCAGUGUAUGUUGGCAGUGCUGCUGUCAUGACCGACAUUAGAAAAGGCUGCAACCCAGUUGUGGAUCCUGGACUGUCCGCUGAAGUCCAGUGCCCCAUCGCACUAAGUGGAAACAGAUCACACACAAAAAAGAGGACGGAGGAGGUUUGCAUAAAAUUGGCAUAUGCUAAUUCAUAGGCUAUAGAUGAAAAUUGUGAAAUCAUUGUCCUAAUUUACAAAGAAAUGCAACAUAUCUCACCAUAGUGGGGGGAACUUAGACCAGGUGACCCAUAUGCUUGCUGAGUCUUCUGCACAGAGGCUAACUAUCAGUGAAUCAACUUCAAGAUCACUGAUCUCCUUUGUCUUUAAACUGUACUUGGACUGGUAGCCUUUUCAGCAGAGGACUGCCCGCCAUAAAGUAGGCCACCUGACUGCUGAGGCUUGGGGUUAGGUGAGUGUUAAGCCCAAGAUCUGAAUGUAUGGGAUAUAUAUUUUGAGUGGGUUUGGGAAUAGAGUCAGAGACCCCUCAUAAACAGAAGGCUGAAUAUGAACAAAGAAGAAACAACACUCCAAACUAAGCAGUAACGCUCAGUGGGUGUCAGUCUAUUUGGGUGAAUGGGGCCCUGCCAGUCUGCCAGCAGCCUGCCCCACCUGCCUGCCUUCUGACUUAUGACAGCCUGUCAGCUUCCUCCUUCUUAGCCUCAGACGAUGUAGUCGGUGGCAGCUUGAAAUGCAGAGGCCGUUUCCCCUGCUGUUCUGUUUUUCUAUACAACAUUGUUUUUGUAUCAGCAAUUCUUGUUAUUAUUUUCAUUGUUGAUUUUAUAUAUAUAUAUAUAGUUAAGUUUCUUCAAGAUAUCUUACUGGAAGCAGUUCAUAAAUGGAAAUAAAUAAAUAGAAUCCCAUUUGGCCCCACCCAACUUUUGCCUCAGAAUCCACCCACCCCCUGGAAUAUGGCCGCUGGAAUCCAGUUGCCCAUAAAAGAAUGCAAGCCUUUGGGUGGAAAAAUGUUUCCCUCAGCCCGAUUCUACUCUGUCAACUGUUUUUAUUUUCUUGGGAACAGACUGCCCUGCGGUCAGCAUUUCAAAAACAGGACAGGCUAUUUGUGCAACAAUCUGUUUUCUACAGAUCACAGUAAGCAUCACCGCCAUGUGGCCUGGCAGAUUGUGCGCUCCAUGGGGCAUGUUGGGUUCUUCACAUUCAUGCAUGUGCAUUUCCUUGUUUGUGCAUUAGAGAUGAAACGCAAUUGCCUCGCGCAGGCUGUGUACACCCUGUAGCUUCAAAGCAUAUUCGAAACAUAUUCUUUUCCUCAAAGAAUUCUGGGCACUGAACGUUACCCUUCACAAAGUUACAGUUCCUAGCGACCCUUAAGAAACCACAGCCCCAGAAUUCUUUGGGGUGGGGGAAUGUGCUUUAAAGUGUGUACACAGCCUCAAAAACUUAAUUUCCAGAGAUGCUGGAGAGGGAAUGGAACUUUGAGGAAUGGCCAUUCUAGCCAAUGAUCGCUAAUAGCAUUGGGACAAGCAUCCUCAAAGUGGAAAAAUUGAGUUGCUGACGGGAGAUGGCCCCUGAAAAGUGGGAGGGCCAAGUAGUGGAAAUGUUCAGUUUGGCAUCCUUGCUGAUUCCAAGAAGCAGAAUAUGUGAACUGCAGACCUGCAUUGUUUAAAAGGAGGUGAGUGUCCAAGUGGACAAUCCACCCUGCUUUGUCUUCUAGCCCCAAAUAUUCUUGCUUAAGCGAAUUGAAAGAGAAGAACAGGAGCUUGUAACCGCAAGCACUGGCGGAGGAAGAGGAGGGCAGGGAGAGCGCACCGCCCCCAGCAACGCGAUCCUGGUGAGGUGCCAUUGUGGCUGCCCCCCCCCCCCGUGCUGAGUGCCACGCUCCUGUGGGCAGCACACCACGCCCCCGGGACGCGCGCCAGCCCUGCCCCCACCUGCUCUCCACCCCCUGGUGCCGGAGCAUGAAGCUCCACCACUGACCCCAAGCCAGGCUGUCAAAAAACAACUUGGAUUUCUCUUCCCAGCGAACUGCUGUACAUAUUCAAUCAACAGCCUUCAACCUUUUCAGUCUUUGGGCCCACGUUUAAUCCCAACCUGCCACACGAUACCCAUUUCUAACUGUGUAAAAAAUCUUCCCCUGUCUGCAUCUCCUGUUUGCUGCCCUCUCUCUUUAGCCAUAUGCAGUUGUUUUUAAUUCUUAUGCAUGUGAGGGGCGUGGCAGCACUUAUGCCCCUCUAUCCCCCAGUCUUCCCACAUUGAACAGGAAGGUCUGGAUGCUGCCUUUCUCCAGGAAGGAGCUGCAAAAGUGUUUUCAGCCAUAAACUGAUUGGCCAGGACAAUGCUGGCAUCUGCUGUUCCUACUGUAGUUGCUGCUGGUUUUCUCCUACCUGGAGAGUCCACCUCUCUUAGCCCUUCUGGUCCUUGUGGCUGUGCUGAUGGGAGUGCAAUGGGCCAGCCCCACCUUGGUAGGCUGGUGUGCCUCUGUGGGAUAAGGGGUUGGUUGGAUUGUAGAUGGAAAGAAGACGAGGAAGAAAAAGGGAAUCCCUAUAGGCAUUUGUUAUUAGUAGCGCUGUAUUUCAUUGCGGGCUGGGGAAAUUUUAGCUGAGCACUGUAGCUGUUGACAAUUGCUGCUUUGCUACUUUUUGUGCUCUCGUAGUAGGAGACUCCUGAAAACCCAUCUAGCUUUUAUUGAUCUGCUGCUUUUCAUCUCCGGGUAACUUGUUUCUUGAAGUCUGUAAUGCUGACACAGAUAGAUGAUUCUACUAUAAUUAGAACUACUGAAUGAGAUACUCCUUCUCCACCCACAUCCCCACUUUGGCACUAAGUCCAAGAGAGAGGAAACUCCUGCUAGCCCCUCCACCUCAUUUAAACUAGAUGGGGUGAUUGUAAGAAAUCCAGCCUUUCUUUAAAUCGCUGAGAUUUGAUUACUCCGAGGACGAGAACCAAAAUUCAGAUCUUUCAACAUACAUUGGAAAGCUCUGCUGUUAGGCUUUUAUCUGUGGGAGAUCGGAGCUUUGGGGCCAAGUGGAUUAAGAAAAAUGGCAGGCUGAAAGGAAAAGAGGGAGAAUGACAAUGACAUCCCUCCGUAUCCUAAUCCCAAACUGAGAAAUUGCUUUCCUGGAAUUCAAACAUUCCAUUAAAAUUUAAUAUUAAGAUAGACACCUGGUUGGGGGGCGCUUUUUGCACCAUUGGAGCGCUCAGUAUUUUUUCUAAAAAAAGACACAUUUUAAAAUUAUUUAUUAUUUAUUUGCUUUUGGUUUUUUCAAUGGCCACAUUUUAUGGGGGAGGUAUUAGGGGGUCACAAGACAUCAUAGUAUCACAGUGGGGGACUUAAGGGAACAGUCAGUCUGUAUAUUUGAAUGACACCGUUGUGCUCAAAUUCAUUAGUAACUCAGAAACCGUGGAACUAUGCCUCAGUUGUCAAUGGGAGUGGUUAUUUAAUAUUUCAUUUAUAAGCCCAGCUUUCGUCCCAGAAACUCAGGGAAGUGUGCAUAGUUCCCCGCUCCUCAUUUGAUCCUCACAACAUCCCUGAGUGAGGGUUUGAACCUAGGAUUCCUGAAUCCUAGCCUGAUAUUCUGAUCACUGCAGCCCUUCUGUCGCUCUUUCAGAUCUGCGUACUAGACGCAAGUCUUCUGGACUCAUCUCCUCCUUCUUAGGAGAAAAGUGACCAAUGGUGAACAGUGGUUCUUCCAGUUCAUUGUCAGACGCAUCAGAUGGUCUGACUGAGGCCUUUGCGCUCUUGUAGUCUGCUGUGUCAUCACUGUCACUGACACCAGCAGCAGCGCCGCCCACUGAACUGGAAUCCGAACUCUGCUCAUCAUCAUCCUCAGCUUCCUCAGCUUCCCCAACAUCAUCUGCUUUUUUCACAUCACCUUCAUCCUCCUCUGGGUAACCCUGGAAAAUUCCCACAUUUUCCCCCCACUUAGGAUUGUACUCAACACUUUGUGAACUUAAUGGAUUUAGAGUCAGUCAUCCACACCCUGUAUGCACCUUUUUCGUACCCUAUGAACAAACCAUGUGCCCCACGCUUCCCAAGCUUGUUGCUCUGUUGGGUGUGUACCCACAUGUCAGAACCAAAGAUUCUCAUGUGCUUGAUGCAAGGUUUCUUACCAAACAUCUUCUCAUAGGGAGUACAACCAAUAGGUGAUGACAAUCUGCGAUUAUAAGUGUAAACAAACGAGUUCAGAGACUCCCCCCAAAACUUCUCAGGGAGAUUGGCAUCAUGCAACAAGGUUUUCAGUCCUUGCAGCAACGUUUGAUUUGCUCGCUCCGCAAGUCCAUUCAUCCAUGGCGAUCUAGGCAUUGACAAGUCAUGCUGGAUUCCCUCUCAGUCAGGAAAGCUUCAAACUGCUGAGAAGUGAACUCCCCGCCUCGAUCAGUAAACAGACAGCCAAUACGUUUACCGUGAACAUUCUCCAACCAAGCACAGAAUGCCUUGAACUGGAAACGCUAUGCAUUUCUGCUCGAGCAUAAACACAUGAAUGUACCUGGAAAAAGAGUCAAUUAGAACCAUGAAGUACCUUGCUCCACCUAAAGAGGGCGCAAGUGGACCAAGCAGGUCUGCGUGCACUAGCUGGUAGGGUUUGGAAGCCUGCCUGCUAGACUCCUUGCCUUUUGGAGCAACCUUCACCUUGUUCUCUGCACAAGAUACACAUUUCAUGUGAAACUUACAGGGUUUGAUGUUCAAACCCUCAACCAUCUCUGGCAUCUUGGCCAGUGCCUUCCAAGAGAGGUGACAAAACCUUCUGUGUGCAUCGUGAAUGCAUCCUGCAUGAAGAACUUUGUUAGUUUGUGCAACACAACAAGAAUCAGCAUUAGACACAACAGCACCAUUGUCAUUAUAAGUUAUACAGAACAAGCCAUCCAUAAACUUUGCAUGCAAAAUGUCCUCUUUGCCUUUUCUGAUGACACAGACGCACCUCUUGAAAGAAAUCUCAAAACCACGCCCAGUCAGCUGUGGGACACUGAGCAAAUUGUCUGCAGCGCCUGGAACAUACAGUACAUCUUUGAUGGUCGUGUGCAGACUUGCCAGUCUCACAGUCCCUUCUCCUGCGAUUCGCAACGUCUUUCCGUCAGCCAGGUGGAUCUCACCUUCUUGAGGUGUGAAGGAGAUAAAGAGAUGGCGGUCCUUUGAGACAUGGCGGGUACACCCCGAAUCAAUAACAAACCUGGCCUUGGCCUUUGGAGCAGUCUUUCUGGCAAGCAUAACCUUGUUUUCCACCGGCGUGGGCUUUUGCUGCUUGCCCCCCUGCUCCUGGCCAUCAGACUUGCCUUUAGCCUUUGGUGAAGCUGUGCCAGCAAACAACGCCUUGUUUUUCUCUGGCGUGGGCUCUUCACCCCCCUUCUGCUUUGGGCCAUCUGCAGGCAUCUGCCUCUGUUUACUUCUGGCCUUCCGGUAUCUGUGAGGAUGACCUUGGCUCCCAUGAGAAACAGAGCUCUCAGCUGCCGACUCCUUGGCUCCCCCUGGAGGCUGGAAUGCUGCCUGGGAUGAUGUGACAGUCAGCUCCCCCUGCAGCUUGCAACCGAUGCCCUCGGCAUCCCUGCAUUCACUCGCAUUCUGGGAAACAGCCAGGACCUCCGACGCAGUCAAACUCUGGGCUGGGAUGACUGGCAAAUGGGCUAUCUUCAAAGCAUUCCACAUCUUACGUGCAGUCACGUUGCCAGCUAACGUUUUAAUUUCCUCCAGAGAGACGGACAAGACUAUUACGUCUAUGGCCCUCGAAUUCUGGGCUCUCCAUCUAUCUGUCAGAGGAACUGGAGGGGCUUCAGACACAGUACGCCACACUCCAAACUGACGCAGCAAACUCUCACACCACACAGCCCAGGUCUGAUAAUUGUGCCGAUUUAACUUUGGGCACUCAGCAGCCUCAGAAGCUUUGAAAAACUCCAUUCCAGCUUUUUACUUGAGCCGUGAGCCUUUAUGCCUUCAAAAACUUCUUAUCUCAGCAGCCCAUAAAUCACGAAGCUUGCUUGGCGCAGCCCCCAGACCAAUUAGGCCAGCCGGACAUCUGAAGCCCUUGCCGCGGCAAACAGAAAAGCCUCACUUUCACUUUUCCCACAUACCUCAACGCAGUCUGUCGCAGUCUUACUCUCCUGUAAGUGCCGUGAAUCUGGGCCCGAAACCUGUUGUUGGGAUACUGCCAGGGAGAUAAAGUCCAUCAUGGCCCCCAAGCCGGCUGCCGGACAAUCCAUCGACCUCCCGUAGUCACGCAGUAUCAGCAAUUAGCGACAUAAGCUCCAGAACAUUCUAGAGCCGAUGCACACUCUUUAUUGGCAGAUAAUGCACAGCAGAAGUCGCACUCAGGAGAGCAUUAUUUACAAGUUUUAUUCAGCGUUGAUCAGAACAAAGAAAACCAUGACUGCCUGCAUCGAUGUCUCCAGACACACAGAGAGAAAUGAAAGCAACAGAAAAACAUAAACAUCCUGUGAACAGGAAAUACGCAGACUCUGUGACUCACAGCCUGUUCCCUUUUAAGGUGGAACGGAAAUAUCCUAACACUGCACCAUGCAGAAAACACACUACUGAAAAUAAUUGUCUUUAUUUAAGUGCUCAUUUACAUCUUGCUAUGCCUUUUGCAUAUUCGGGAUUGAAGCGGGGAAGACUAUUUUCUGGGUUAUUUCCUAGAUUCUCACAUGUUCUCCUACAAUAGCAUAGCAAAAAUUACUAGACACUAUCCAGAGGUCAUUUCUUACCACCCUGAUAAUGAGAAGUGUCUGCAGUAAUCAAAACAUUCAUAAACAUCCUGGUCGUAUUGCAACUGAAUUAAUAUUGGCUUCCCUUAUGUGUUCCUGGCUUACACUGAAAGGUCCCUAUGUCUCCGACGGGCAAAAUGUUACUAAGGAGGUGAAAAAAUGAGUUGCAAAUGCUAAUGAGCAAAUAAAAGUUCUGUCAACUCUUUCAGGAAGGAAACAAAAUUAAACCUUUCCCUAAACACGAUCGCAGUUGAUAAAAUGCUGGAUGUUUAGGUGCCAAUUAUAGCUCUUUCAGAAACUCUCAACUCUUGUCAUAACACAUGCCAUAAACAAGGACAGAUUUAGAGGUUCUUCAUGACAGUUAUGUGUAGGAUGUUGACAGUUGACUGUUAAAUUUCAAGUGCAGGGGAAAAUUUCCCUCCCUAUAGAUCUUCGCUUGUUUAUUAUGAGGGUGUUUUCUUUGCGAGUUCAAUCAUACAUUCGCUGCCUCACGUUCUCAGCGCUUGACAUUUCCAUUUAACUCCCCCCCCCCCCAUGACAAUCACUGAAGUGUAGAUGGAGGUAAAUGCAACCUCCAGUACACUCAAGAGGUGUGAGAAUUUCAAAACUUCAGGGCGUUUUCUUCACUUUUCCUUUUGAAUAUUUAGAUUUGUUAUUCUCCUUCCCUUUUUAUAUUAAAAAAUACCCAAUUAUAUAUGGGUGGUUACAUCAGAAGAAAGCAAAUAUAUGUGUUUGACAUCAUAAUGAAAGAAGGGAAGAAGCUUUGUGAGGAAUCUGAAGCUGGGAUAAAGACUAGUUCUUUGAGGGUGCUUUAAGACCUCCAACUAUACUUACCAUCAUCAUUUUAAUAAUUAUUAUUAACAACUAAUGAACCAUUAGUAACUUCAACAGAUAAUGCCUUUAGAGAUGAACAGGGAGUAUUUUUCCCUCCUGCACAAAAUGUUCACAAUGUGUGUGUGUGUGUGUGUGUGUGUGUGUGUGUGUAAGGCUUAUUACGGAGGCAUAAGGACCAACAAAUUACUCCUUCUUGGUUCAUCCCUGAAAGUCUUGCUUCAUUCCCUGGAUCUUCCUGUAUACCACAUUGCCUUUUCUGUGGAGAUUUGUCUGGCACUCUCCUGACAGAAAUAGAAAGCAUUUUUAUUUUUAAAAGGCAUUUAAUGUCCAGCUCUCCUACUGUUUUUAAUUAUUUUACUAUCUGCUUUUUUAAGGUCGGCUGGGUUUUUUUAGGUUUUUUUACAGUAUUGUAUAUUUAUUUCCUGAAUGCAGGAAUGGUAAUGCAACACUUCUCCAGAUGUUGUUGGACUACAAUUGCCUACCAACCAGCCUGGGGCUGAUGGGAGUUGAAGUUCAAUACAGUUGAGAGCAGGGAUGAGGAACAUGUCACCCUCCAGAUGUUGUUGGACUCCAAUUCCUAUUAGCCCUAACCAGCAUGGCCAGUGGUCAGAGAUGAUGGGAGUUGUAGUCUUAAUGACAUCUAGAAAUCCUCAGGUUCACCAUCCCUGAUUGAGAGGUCCUCAGGUUCCACAUCCCUACCUAAUCAUAUAAUUGCAUUUAAAUCCUUUUUUGUAAGAUGCUAAGGGUACUUAUCGAUAGAAGAGCAGUGUUCAUAAGUGUGGGUAUGCAACAACAAUAAUUAGAAAUACCUCCAUUAAUGCCUUCAGAUCUGUCUUCAUAAUAGAUAGUACGAUCCAAAUACACAUACACUUGGUGCUCCUGAGAAGAACAAACGUGUGUGUGUGUGUGUGUGUGUGUGUGUGUAAAUCAACAAGAGAAGUGGGGGACACACACCAAAUAAAGGUGAAUAAUUUCUCAUAGGCUUUCUAACCAGCAGGGAACAGGUGGACAAAGCAAUCUUCAAGGAGGUAUCAAGGACAUCUAAAGCUCAUAAACACAGGACCCUGGGAUAUAACUACACAGAUGUUUGUUGAGCUAAGAACAUAGCUAAAUAUAGAAUAUACAUAAAGUUACUGACCUGUAUAGAGGACAUUUAGCACACAAAAACUAGGGAAGUGACUGGUAUGUGUUUUAGUAAUCUUUACUCAAAAUGUUUUGAGACUGGGCAGGAUAAGAGAUGAUAUACAUUAGGGAUGUGUUUUGGCCCCAAGGGGGUGAAUUAGGGUGAUUUGGGGUAUUAUUUCAUGUUACUUAGAUUGCACUGUUAACAAGGCAUGUCAAGGAGAGUCACAGAGUGCCCAAACUUCUUAAUAGCUCUGUUGACUCAGUUUUUCGCAUAAGUGAAGCACAAGAUCACUGCCUUUUUGCUUUUUAUUUUCUGAGAAAUGAAACCAAGCUGAGUGUGGAAAGUCUGCCCUUAUGGGAGAACCACCGAGCCUGUGUUUCUAAAAUGUGAGUCUUCCCAAUCAGGCUCAAAAUACUUGGCAUUUGGGAAAGUAAAACACAUGAAUUGGAACUGCAUGGCACAGUGCACACAUUUUUUUGUUACUUUCUAAUUGAGUGGCCCAGAACACAUUAUAUAACAAGCAAAAGGGAUGCACUUCCCCUGAGCAUAAAAGAUCAUGAAAUAUUCAGUAAUAUUUAUGAAGUUCUGGUUCAAUUCUGUCAAGUCCCUGAAUUUUGAAUGGAGCAGUUAGCAUUUUUGGUUAUGUUUUAACCAGUUCACAAUGGCACAGAGCAGCUUCCUUUCUUAUAUUAACAACCCUGUACUUAGGGAUAUUAACUCACCAAGAAACUUGCCUGGCUCUUUCAGCAAUGGAAUCCUUGCGGGAUCCAGGAAUUAGAAGGGACUCAGGCAUACAGCCCAACCCUCCAUCCCCAACAAACAAUGCUAUGCAUGCAAACUCUUUGCUCUAACCAUGCCAGCCACCCCUCUCUCUCCCCCUCCCACAAAUCCUCCUGCAAGCAGCCUGCAUGGAGAAAUGACCAUAUGCUUUACUUUACUUUCUUUGUAGGGCUGUCAGGUGUCUGGUCCAAGUCCAGUUGAAAGAUAAAGAACCCUAAGCAAGCAGAAGCCUAGAAUUUGUCCACCAACAGUUAAGCGGCUGGAGAGCAGACUGACCAGGGGCACGCUGGUCACCGUCUUCUGCACUAUGGUGAGAUGCACUGUAUUUCUAUUUCGAUCAUGGUUAGGCAAACUAAGGCCCAGGGGCCGGAUCCAGCCUAAUCGCCUUCUAAAUUUAGCCCUCUGUCCAGGAAACAGUGUGUUUUUACAUGAGUAGAAUGUGUCCUUUUAUUUAAAAUGCAUCUCUGGGUUAUUUGUGGCGCCUGCCUGGUGUUUUUACGAGUAGAAUGCGUGCUUUUAUUUGAAAUGCAUCUCAGGGUUAUUUGUGGGGCAUAGGAAUUCGUUCAUGUCCCUCCCCCCUUCAAAAUCUAGUCCGGCCCCCCACAAGGUCUGAGGCACAGUGGACCGGCCCCCUGCUGAAAAAGUUUGCUGACCCCUGAUUUAGAUGAUAGCAAUUGUUUCUAAGUGUUAUUUAUCUAGACAGUGUCAUUUCUCUAGAGAGAUAAAUGAGAGUAUGCAAAUUGAUAACAUUUUUUCCUUUUUGCGAUGUGCAAAGGGCCACUUUUCACGCAGGUUCUCAGCAGUUACUUCUCCUAUUGCCCCAAAUUGAUAGUGUGUGCAAACUUCCUAGGCCAAAUUGGCUUGCAGCAGCAGUGGACCCAUCUCAUCUGCAAGCCGCCUUUGUGAAGGCAACGUGGUGUUCCCCUUCCAGUGCACUGCAAUUCUGGAUCACCCCUCAACAUUGGCCACACUGGCUGUGGAUGAUGGGAGCUAGAGUCCAAUAACGUCUGGAAGGCACAAGAUUGGAUAUCCCAAUCUUGGGACUGAGUUGGUCACUCUGUGAACUUCAUCUGUGAAAUGACUCACAGACAGAACCUCUGGAUGCUGCCUGUUAGCUUUUGGGGGAAUGGAUACAAUGAAUAAAUCUAGCUUCCCUCCCCCACCUUUGCCCAGGCAUUUCUGUUUCUCGUAUACACACAGUCAUCUCAGAUGCCGGGUGAAUUGUGUGCCAGGAUCUUAGACUAACCUCUUCAGAUAGACACCCUAGACAUCUGCAAAGAUGGUUGAGUUGUCUGUAAGUGUAUAGAUUAGAGAAGAAAUAUAGUUGAAAGCUCAUAUGGCGACAAGGUUUGCGCUAAGGUGAAAAGGAGGAGGAAUCUCCUCCACAAACUUAUAUAAUGGGAAAAUAUUAUCAUAGCGCUGGAAACAAAAAGCUGCUUUUAGCACAGGUUUCUGAAUUGGCUGAAGAAGAGAGAUACAGUUCUUGAAAAUCUUGAGAAUCCAAUUGCAUUUCACAUCCCAUUUAGUCCAGAAUAGGCAAUGGGCUCACAGCUAACAGUGAAAAUAGUCACCUAGAAAGAGCUUUAUGUUUUCAUAUAUUUUUACUAUUGCUUUUGAGUGGAAUGGAAGGAGUUUAAAGUUUUCAAGGUUCAAAAAUCACCAGUCUGUAUUCCCUCCCGCUUCAUCUAACACAGAAAUAGCUUUCGUUUUCUUUUUCUAGGUUUGGUUGUUGAUGAAGUUGCAUUACAGCCAAGUGAUGCAACACACAGCUGUAUAAAAUGGCAUCAAGAUAUGUUCUUAACCUGCAGGGUGUAGCAUAACAUUUGAACCUUGCUUUAGCACUAGCAAUGAGAUAAUUUUACUGCCUAUAACACCAGCAAUCAAAUGGUAGUUUUUGAUCCAGUUUAACAGAACCUACAUGUUAUCUGCAGCAUUCAAGGCAUCUCAUGAAAAUCUCACAGAAACGGGAGGCGUUCAGCCCAUCUAACAUAUGCAGCAUCUGUGUAUCAGUGUUAAUUUUAUUGUAGAAGAAGAUGCUACCUAUUGAUUAAAGCUGAAUGGGAGCUCUGUGACCUGGAACAUUCAAUGAAUUGGAAAAAUGGCCUCAGGUGGAAGAUAUAAUUUAUUAUGGGUGAGCCAUAAAGGCCACCUCGCUUGUUACUCCCAGGGAGGAAUGAAAUAAAAAAGACUUAAGUAACUGCUCACCCAGCACAAUAGAUACUGGCAGCUCUGCAGUAAUUUAGACUUCCUACUUUGCUAUUCAUCAGGAUAAUUGCUGGGAGCUGUCAAGGCUGGAACUGAGGACCCAUGGGCUCUAUAUGCAUGGCCAUGUGCUGAGCCAACAGGGCUACAAGUUGGAGCAUCUUGCUAGGCAGUGGAGAUUGCAACACUUGGGGCUUCAUAGCUUAGGGAAACAGCUGAUGGAGGAGGCAACAGAAGUAUGUAAGAUUAUGCAUGGCAAUGAUGUCAUAGAGCUGUUAUGGAGGAGGUGGGAGGAUCUCAAAGGAGUGGAUUCAGAGAUAAGGCCUUGGAGGUAGACGACCUGAGAGAGAUGAGAGUUGUGGGAUGAGAAAUGUGGCACUGGUGCCUCAAGAAGGGUUGGAGCUAGUAGAGGGGGCUGGUGAACAGGAGGGUCAGGAGCUGGAUUCAGGGAAGGUUCAAACGGGUUGUCAGAGAGCUGCUUUGCCCCUGUGAUCUCAGACACUUCUAAAGGGCUGCUGGUGCUGCCACUGGACUGUCCUGUCACUCCUGCCAAUAAGGCCCUCAGAAGACAUCUCAGAGCAGAUGCUAAGAGGAUAAAUGAUUGUGGGCAAGGAUACAAUACUGGGAUAUGAGGCAAGGCAUGGAGAAAUUUUAAGGUUAGGACAAGAAAAUUGUUCUGGAUAUCAGAGGAGGCAAGGAGCCGGCACAGGGGAUUCAGAGCGGGCUGAUGAGUAUAUAAUAAGGCCAGUUGCUUAUUUCCUGAUCCUUCUAUGAAGGGAGCUGCAGUACCUCCUCAGGUCAUCCACAAGUGGUGGCACUGCAGAGUAGCAGAGGUUUUCUGGGUUUUCUGUUCCUACAAACUGUUUGAUAUAUGCUGCUCACUUACCGUAAAUAUCAGAAAACACCAACCCCUUGACUUUGUCAAGCAUGCGGCUUGAUCCUAUGCAUGCUUAUGCAAUGGAACUUAUUUUCAAGUAAGAAUGUGAACAGGAUUGCUGCCACAGACUAUGUCAUUGAAUACAGUGCAGCCAUCUGAAUUCAGUGCAUGUUAUAUGUGUAAAUAACUUUCUCUAUCUCUCAGUUUACAGGUUAACAGGAGUUUUUCUUGGCUGAUCAAUUUUUGACCAUUAAAAGUUAAUGCCACCAAGAGAACUCUGAAGGAGUAGCAGAAGCUUUGAAAGCAAUUGUACAAGCU
Non-coding RNA from Podarcis lilfordi (Lilford's wall lizard), 37007 nucleotides. NCBI's taxonomy places the organism in Eukaryota, Metazoa, Chordata, Lepidosauria, Squamata, Lacertidae. The record is from the annotation of a GenBank genome assembly.